This 66-nucleotide transfer RNA is filed under the name Orsodacne lineola. RNAcentral describes it as "tRNA-Glu". It matches the Rfam family "tRNA". From Rfam's summary of the family: Transfer RNA (tRNA) molecules are approximately 80 nucleotides in length. Their secondary structure includes four short double-helical elements and three loops (D, anti-codon, and T loops). Lineage: Eukaryota; Metazoa; Arthropoda; Insecta; Coleoptera; Orsodacnidae. The record is from RNAcentral.
AUUUAUAUAGUUUAAAUAAAACGUUACAUUUUCAUUGUAAAAUUAGAAAUCUUUUUCUUAUAAAUA